AUUGAACGCUGGCGGCAGGCCUAACACAUGCAAGUCGAGCGGAUGAAGGGAGCUUGCUCCUGGAUUCAGCGGCGGACGGGUGAGUAAUGCCUAGGAAUCUGCCUGGUAGUGGGGGAUAACGUCCGGAAACGGGCGCUAAUACCGAAUACGUCCUGAGGGAGAAAGUGGGGGAUCGUCGGACCUCACGCUAUCAGAUGAGCCUAGGUCGGAUUAGCUAGUUGGUGGGGUAAAGGCCUACCAAGGCGACGAUCCGUAACUGGUCUGAGAGGAUGAUCAGUCACACUGGAACUGAGACCCGGUCCAGACUCCUACGGGAGGCAGCAGUGGGCAAUAUUGGACAAUGGGCGAAUGCCUUAUCCAGCCAUCCCGCGUGUGUGACGAAGGUCUUCGGAUUCUAAAGCCCUUUCAGUUGGGAGGAAGGGCAGUAAGUUAAUACCUUGCUGUUUUGACGUUACCAACAGAAUAAGCACCGGCUAACUUCGUG
RNAcentral lists this ribosomal RNA (484 nucleotides) under uncultured bacterium. RNAcentral describes it as "partial 16S ribosomal RNA". It matches the Rfam family "Bacterial small subunit ribosomal RNA", at positions 30 to 507 of the family's 1533-position model. The record is from RNAcentral.